GCCACAGGUGCAGAGCUGCCCAAGGCCUU
This 29-nucleotide non-coding RNA is filed under the name Homo sapiens (human). Lineage: Eukaryota; Metazoa; Chordata; Mammalia; Primates; Hominidae. The record is from RNAcentral.